RNAcentral lists this ribosomal RNA (305 nucleotides) under uncultured bacterium. Its description in RNAcentral is "partial 16S ribosomal RNA". It matches the Rfam family "Bacterial small subunit ribosomal RNA", at positions 335 to 658 of the family's 1533-position model. The record is from RNAcentral.
GUCCUACGGGGGGCAGCAGUGGGGGAUAUUGCACAAUGGGGGGAACCCUGAUGCAGCGACGCCGCGUGGGUGAAGAAGCGCCUCGGCGCGUAAAGCCCUGUCAGCAGGGAAGAAAAUGACGGUACCUGAAGAAGAAGCCCCGGCUAACUACGUGCCAGCAGCCGCGGUAAUACGUAGGGGGCAAGCGUUAUCCGGAUUUACUGGGUGUAAAGGGGGCGCAGACGGCGAUGCAAGUCCGGAGUGAAAGCCCACGGCCCAACCGUGGGACUGCUCUGGAAACUGGGCGGCUUGAGUGCGGGAGGGGG